This is a non-coding RNA of Pyrenochaeta sp. DS3sAY3a, 135 nucleotides long. NCBI's taxonomy places the organism in Eukaryota, Fungi, Ascomycota, Dothideomycetes, Pleosporales, Cucurbitariaceae. The record is from the annotation of a GenBank genome assembly.
GUCCUCUUAGCUCAAUUGGGAGAGCGCCAGACUGAAGUCUUCGGUCAUUAAAUCUGGAGGGUGAGUUUCAUCUGAUUAAUUAGCAUAGACUGGCGCUGACAUAAUCAGUAUUGUGUUCGAUCCACAAAGGGGACA